RNAcentral lists this transfer-messenger RNA (374 nucleotides) under Chitinophagaceae bacterium. It matches the Rfam family "transfer-messenger RNA". Rfam says of the family: Bacterial tmRNA, also known as 10Sa RNA or SsrA, is named for its dual tRNA and mRNA-like properties. Its role is to liberate the mRNA from a stalled ribosome. Lineage: Bacteria; Pseudomonadati; Bacteroidota; Chitinophagia; Chitinophagales; Chitinophagaceae. RNAcentral also lists the same sequence under 1 other name. The record is from RNAcentral.
GGGGCCGUAUUGGUUUUGACAGCAAAGUUCUUUGUAAGUAUAAGCAUGCAGUGCGUUGUAUAAUUAGCACUUAAAUCUGAAUAUUCAAACUUUAAAUGGCAACACACAGUUAGCCAUGGCUGCCUAAUCAGUGAUUAGAUAGUCAUUUGGGCCGCCGCACAGGUUUGCUUUUUACCAAGUGCUGCCGCCGACUCAAAACAAACAAAAGCUGCUGUUGCAAUAGGCUGUGCCUGUAACUUAAGAUUUAUUCAGCUAAGGAUUAAGUUGGUUGGUUGUUUCCCUGCUUUUUCCUAACAAUUAAUAAAUAACUAAGCAUGUAGAAAGCUUAUGGCGAAUUUGUUUGGACAAGGGUUCGACUCCCUUCGGCUCCACCA